This 1990-nucleotide small RNA is filed under the name Rattus norvegicus (Norway rat). Its description in RNAcentral is "uncharacterized LOC108352981". Lineage: Eukaryota; Metazoa; Chordata; Mammalia; Rodentia; Muridae. The record is from RNAcentral.
CACACCCUUUCCAUAAUAUGACUAAGGACAUUAAAAAAUUCAUAGGAGACAUUUCAUGCACACUUUAAUAUGGUCUGAAAGUUCUUGUUUUGUUUGAACUCAUCUACAAUAGUUAUUUUGAUGCCCUUUUCUUUCUAAGUAAGAUUAAGAUAUUGGUCAUUAUGUUGCCUUUGAAAAUGGCUUUGUCAUCAAAACCGGCUGACAGAUAUCUUGAAAUACAGUGCUACAAAUAGCCCACCUGCUUUAAAUUCCUGUGUUGAACUUCUAGGAUGGUGGUUUUAAGGAAGUUUCCUCCAUGCUGACUGGCUCUCGGAGUCCUGAAAAGUGCUAUGUGGGCUUCUGAGAGGUGGAGGAGCUUCAACAGUCUUACACCGCUGUGAAUCCUGUGAACUACAAUAAUGACUGGUCCAACAAUGAACACCCAUGGGUGUGUGUGCUUGUGUCAUGAAUGUAUGGUGACCACCAAGUGCUUUCUGAAUGGAUUUAAGGUCUUGCUCCAUGACAGGAAAAGAUAUGGGGUAGAGAAAAUCUGAAGAACAAUCUGAUUGGGGAGCUAACUCUGCUAGCAAUGGCAGAACCCUCUACUAUUAUUCUGCUAAGAAACAUUGUAUCAAAAUACCCUCUAAAUUUGUAUCUCUACCCACAGAAUUUGUAUCUCUCUACACACAGGUUAGUGCAGCUCCCAGACUUCAUCCGGAAAGUUUCUUUGUGCAGUGGGCAGCAGUUAAGACAGAAACUCACAGCUGGUCAAAGUAUAGAGGUUAAAAUGCAAGAGUACUCAACCACAAAUGAGGCACGCAUAUCAGUGCCCAAGCCCUACCACGGCACAAGGACUGUCUGGAACAAGGACUGUCUUGGAAGAAGGGUAGAAGCAUUGCAAGAGUCAGAGGUCAGAGAGAACCAGAACCAAACAGUGUCUUCUGGUUAUGACCACACUUGUGAAUUAGAAGUAGCUCUGGUUACCUGUAUGAGAUCAAGACAGUCAACAUUCUAGUCUGAAGGUGGCAGAGGCUCAUAAGUCUUCCCUGCUGACUGAGGAGACAUGGAUAGUUGAUGGCUUUGAAGAGAAGUGGAAUCUGUUUUCUUCAAGGGUGUGGUCUCUGGUAUAAAAAACAGGGAAUGAAUAAAGGUCAGCCAGCUCAUCUCAGAAGGACGCAGGACACCACAAAUGCACCCCGAAUCCCCGACAAUGCCUGAGUAAGUCUGUGGAGACUCACUCUUACCUGAAAACUCCUAUCACCACAUCUAAGCCUGUCCUGAGUACUUCUCACUGAACAACGGUCUCCUGGUCGCUGAUGCAGCAUGAUCGGCCGGCUUCACUCUUGUCUCCAUGCCUUCCCCACCGUGAUGGAUCAGAGUCCCUCAAACGGGCUCCGAUUUACCAUUCUGCAGAGAGAGCAACCACCUCCAGCCCAAUCUCAAAAUCAAGUCCAAACGCUGUCCAAAGUCCGUGAAGUCUUAGUCCAAUGCCUUGUUUGGUUUCAGUCAUCCUUUUUCGCUGAGUUUGCAGUCCAACUCCUUCUCUCGCAGCUCUGCUAAUAUUGUCCCUUAAUUCUGCUUUGUAAUAAAUACCAUCGGCUUUAAUGUGUCUUGAAGGACUGCGCCAAGGGCUCCUGGGAUCCCUAUGAUCCCUAUGAUUCCUCAUCAACUUGACACACUUUGAAUCACCUAGGAAGACAGUCUCGGGAAGGGACUAUCUAGAUUAGGCUGGUCUAUGGGCAUGGCUGUGAUGGAUGUCUUGAUUCCAUUAACUGAUAUGGGAAACUUCAGCCUAAAUGUGGAUGGUGCUGGUCCCUGGGUUUGGGUCCUAGGUUAUGAAGGGAAAAGAGAGCUGAUCUGGCAGGAAUGUAUGCAAAGCUCUUGACUGUGGGCGUGACUUUCUGCAUCAAGUUCCCGACGCCUUGACCUCUGUGCAAUGGUGGACUUGAACCUGGAUUUGUAGAAUAAGUUACAUUUUGCUUUUGUCACAGCAACAGGGAAUAAAACUAAG